This 253-nucleotide ribosomal RNA is filed under the name uncultured bacterium. RNAcentral describes it as "partial 16S ribosomal RNA". It matches the Rfam family "Bacterial small subunit ribosomal RNA", at positions 524 to 776 of the family's 1533-position model. The record is from RNAcentral.
UACAGAGGGUGCGAGCGUUAAUCGGAAUUACUGGGCGUAAAGCGCGCGUAGGCGGUUUGUUAAGUCGGAUGUGAAAUCCCCAAGCUCAACCUGGGAAUUACAUUCAAUACUGGCAAGCUAAAAUAUAAAAGAGGAUGGUAGAAUUCCAGGUGUAGCAAUGAAAUGCGUAGAGAUCUGAAGGAAUACCGAUGGCGAAGGCAGCCAUCUGGCCUAAUACUGACGCUGAGGUGCGAAAGCAUGGGGAGCAAACAGG